GGGAGCAAAGGGGACGUCACUGCUGCGGCGCUGGGAAUCCUUGCUAGGGUUUUCGGUGUUUGGGGAAAACUUUGGGCUGAGUUGGGUUCUGGGCUAGGCUAAAAUUUGGGCUUGUACUGGGUCAAUUGUAAAUGGACUCUCUUUUUUUGGACUGAAUUUGAUUUAUUAUUUUUAUUUUUAUUAUUAUUUUUUGGUUUUUUUUUUACAAUGUAUGUGGGCCGGGCAUAAAUUGGGUAUUACAGCUGCCCCUCUUUGCUCGCUAUCGUGUAACGGGAACAGAGCAAAGACUAAAAAGGACCAAUUUUGCC
This 308-nucleotide long non-coding RNA is filed under the name Gossypium raimondii (Peruvian cotton). RNAcentral's name for it is "long non-coding RNA (GRAI_LNC004004)". The record is from RNAcentral. Lineage: Eukaryota; Viridiplantae; Streptophyta; Magnoliopsida; Malvales; Malvaceae.